UGUAAAAGUGCAGCGCAAGAUAUUUUUUUCCCAAUAUAUUUGGCCGCAGGAUAUUUUUUUUGCCUCUCAUAAUAACGGCUUACAGUAACUUUAGGCUUUCAUAUAGCUAUCAUCGGAGACGUAGCAGGGGUUUUCAGUCAGAGGAGGCCGAGAACUGAAUCCCAAGAUGGGCCAAGGAAUUUUCACUGUGCUUUAUUUUAUAUAUGGUUAUGUCUUAAUGUUCCCCACACUAAAGCGUGCAAGUUUACUUACAAAGAAUGUAUAACUGCACCAAAACCUAAAACAUGCAGGGAUAGAGUAGAGUGCUCGAAAAUGGGGGAGGGUACAGUAUAUGAAUGACCUGUAACCUUGGGGGGUUCGGGGGCAUGCUCCCCCGAGAAAAUUUUAAAAUUUGAACCUCGGAAAUGCUAUUUCCUGCGUUUUCAGCCAUGGAUAAUUACCUUAAGCCCAGAUUUCCUCAGGAGGGGCAACAAUUUUGCCAGGGAACACCACUGGCUAUCGUAUGUCAGAGGCUCCAAAGGCGGUAGAAUCCCUGUGAUGCUAUCCACUGUUCACCGCGUGUUCUUUUAAGCAAAUGUGCCUGCUCAAAAAUGCAAAAUCUUGCAAGCCUGUGGACACAAUACUGAAGUGAAGAGCAUCAGUAGAGUUACAUGUAGAAAAUUUUUUUUUGAGCGCUCUCUUUUGCAUGAUAUUUUUUUUUUUCGAUUGUGUGCUGCAUGAUUUUUUUUUUCUUUCUCCUUGGGUUGCAGGAAAUUUUUUUUCGAAAUCUUCCACCCCCCCCUCAAAAGUCAAAUGGUCCGCCCCUAAUCGUAUUUU
Paramuricea clavata is the source of this 816-nucleotide non-coding RNA. The record is from the annotation of a GenBank genome assembly. NCBI's taxonomy places the organism in Eukaryota, Metazoa, Cnidaria, Anthozoa, Malacalcyonacea, Plexauridae.